This is a long non-coding RNA of Dermochelys coriacea (leatherback sea turtle), 142 nucleotides long. RefSeq lists it as uncharacterized. The record is from RefSeq and is a predicted model, not a curated record. Lineage: Eukaryota; Metazoa; Chordata; Testudines; Dermochelyidae. The transcript is spliced from 3 exons.
AACCUGGUGGCUCAACAGGUAGCGCUCAACGGUUCAAUGUCUGGUUGGCAGCCGGUAUCAAAUGGAGUGCCCCAGGGGUCUGCCCUGGGGCGGGUUUUAUUCAACAUCUUCAUUAAUGAUCUGGAUGACGGGAUGGAUUGCA